CGGCGGACGGGUGAGUAACGCGUGGGUAACCGUGCCUCAUACAGGGGGAUAACAGUUGGAAACGGCUGCUAAUACCGCAUAAGCGCACAGUACCGCAUGGUACGGUGUGAAAAACUCCGGUGGUAUGAGAUGGACCCGCGUCUGAUUAGCUAGUUGGUGGGGUAACGGCCUACCAAGGCGACGAUCAGUAGCCGACCUGAGAGGGUGACCGGCCACAUUGGGACUGAGACACGGCCCAA
RNAcentral lists this ribosomal RNA (239 nucleotides) under uncultured bacterium. RNAcentral describes it as "partial 16S ribosomal RNA". It matches the Rfam family "Bacterial small subunit ribosomal RNA", at positions 96 to 334 of the family's 1533-position model. The record is from RNAcentral.